RNAcentral lists this ribosomal RNA (215 nucleotides) under Glomeromycotina sp. RNAcentral's name for it is "partial small subunit ribosomal RNA". The stretch from base 74 to 215 matches the Rfam family "Eukaryotic small subunit ribosomal RNA", at positions 721 to 864 of the family's 1831-position model. Lineage: Eukaryota; Fungi; Glomeromycota. The record is from RNAcentral.
GGUCAGUAGGUUGGUCGUGCCACCGGUACGUACUGGUCUCACUGAUUCCUCCUCCCUGAAGAACCGUAAUGCCAUUAAUUUGGUGUUGCGGGGAAACAGGACUGUUACUUUGAAAAAAUUAGAGUGUUUAAAGCAAGCUAACGCUUGAAUACAUUAGCAUGGAAUAAUGAAAUAGGACGAUCGAUCCUAUUUUGUUGGUUUCUAGGAUUGACGUA